AUCCCUGCAGGGACUCACUAGCUUUUGACCUCAAAUCUUCAAUAAGGGAGUCUCUUGAAAACCAGGAGCAGUAACACACCAAGGGAUGUAGUUCUGAUGGCAGGAUUUCAAGCUCAGGCUAGGAGAGGCAACCUGCUGUGCCAAAGGCCACCGAGUCAGGGCUUUGGACUCAGACCUGGAAGCAGAUCCUGCCCUCCUGCUUUGUGUUGCGACAGCCUCCUCCUCAAAGGGGCUUUUAUAUUUUAAAAACAGCAAAUCCAUAACGAAACCCCUCAAAUGUCACCGCAACAUGGAGCAAUCUGACCUUUCAUCCUCGUUGAUGGAGGCGAGUGAGGCAAGGACCCCCACAGAUGGAUGGCGUGAGAGGAAAAGCUGAAUCCGGGUGCAGCUGUGCGCGCGGUGCGGGGUGGAUGCGGCCGGCUCCCCCUCAGCUGGCCGACCGACACCGGCGUUAAGGCCCGAGAAGCUGCAGCGAAUGUCCCGGGUUCAGUGGCUGCACAGCUGGCCAGUGGGCAGCCGCUUCCUUCGAGAUGGACCCAGGGGAUGGCAUCGAGACAGCAAGGGCCACCUGUCUGUACCCUGCCUCCCGGGAUGCCUGGGGCACUGGCUGGUCUCCUGGGCUCUCCCCACCUCAUGCUUUCAUCUGAGCCUUUACCAGGCCACGCACAGCUACCGACCCAGGACCUCUGAGAGCAGAGGUCUGGCCCUCUGCCUGCUUUUGCAUGGCCCGUGAGCUGAGAAGAGUUUUCACACCCUGAAAUGGUGUGAAAUUCUUAAAAAAAAAAAAAAAAAGUAAUAUUUUGUGACAUGUGACAGUCAUACAAUUCAAAUGUCAGUGUCCAUAAAUAGGGCCUUGUUCCCUCGUUGUGUAGUCUUGGGCCACUUUCACGCUACAGGCAGGGCUGGAGGAGGGGCGACAGAGGACAGAUGGCCAGAAAAACCUGAACUACCUAUUAUCUGGUGCUUUGCAGAGAAAGUGUGCCGAUCCCCGACUUAGAUCCCUCCUUCCAGGGGCAUUUGAACUUUAAUUGACUCUCCUGUCUUAAGCAGCAGAGAUGAAGUCCUUCAUGGCAGACUCUAGACGCCUAUCCACGGCAAGUGGCUCCCUCCGGCUGACUCGGCCAGGAGAAGGUGUGGGGAAAAUUAGAGCCGAGGAACAAAGAGCCCCCAGGUUGUGAAAGAGCAGACUGGAGUUUCUAAUUCUGGCUUCAACUAACUAAUAAUUAUGUGAUCUGAGUGAAACGGCUUCUCCCAUCCUGGUGCUUUUCUCAUCCAUUCAGAAUCUGCCCUCUUGGCCUCAAACGGGGAGAUAAUAGCUGUGAAAUGCUUUGUGAUCUAAAAUGCUUUGUGAUCUAAAGCAUCACUCAAAUGCAAAGAUCAGCCAGGCUCUGGAAUCCUGAUAAGGUACACUACUUCCUCUCCAGGCGAAGGGAGCAGAAGGGACCGCAAGUGUUGCAAUGCUGUUCUCAUCCAUCCCCAGUCAAGAUGCUUGGUUUGGCAACAAGACUGUGGCAGAUCCGUGGCAUCUGUGCCGUUGACGUUCAGUCAUUCCCAAACCACCCGGAAGGUCCCCGGCUGUCCACUUGUCAUUUUGCUGAGACACAGAACCGACUUACGCGGUUGCUGCUCACUGAGUGAAUCUAGCGGACGGACAAGCAGCCUCAUCCCAGGACGGCUCCCUCUUCUCUUGUUAGAACAGAUGUAAUAACUAAUAAAGUGAU
Enhydra lutris kenyoni (northern sea otter) is the source of this 1721-nucleotide long non-coding RNA. RefSeq lists it as uncharacterized. The transcript has 4 exons. The record is from RefSeq and is a predicted model, not a curated record. NCBI's taxonomy places the organism in Eukaryota, Metazoa, Chordata, Mammalia, Carnivora, Mustelidae.